UUGUGAUAUACUGUUCUGCAAUGCAAAUAGUAUGUUAAAAAUCAGAUAGUUACUGAGACCUUUUAGUAUUGCAGCAUUGCAUGCUAUCAUGGGAAACUGUAGCAUCAAUCUUCCAGCAGGGGAUCAGAUGCGUCUAGUUGCUUUUAACUAGUCCUGAUGACUCCUUGCUUGGAGGAUGAACUUGUUCAACUUGGUUUAUCACCACUGUCUAUGACAGUGAUGACAAAAUCACUGUUUAACUUUGCUUAAAGAUUUCGAACUUCCUUCACACAGAGUUGUUUCUCGCCUGUGAAGUUACGUUUUAACUUUAGC
This 312-nucleotide unclassified non-coding RNA is filed under the name Pseudo-nitzschia pungens. The record is from RNAcentral. Lineage: Eukaryota; Bacillariophyta; Bacillariophyceae; Bacillariales; Bacillariaceae.